UAAUACGAAGGGACCUAGCGUAGUUCGGAAUUACUGGGCUUAAAGAGUUCGUAGGUGGUUGAAAAAGUUAGUGGUGAAAUCCCAGAGCUUAACUCUGGAACUGCCAUUAAAACUUUUCAGCUAGAGUAUGAUAGAGGAAAGCAGAAUUUCUAGUGUAGAGGUGAAAUUCGUAGAUAUUAGAAAGAAUACCAAUUGCGAAGGCAGCUUUCUGGAUCAUUACUGACACUGAGGAACGGAAGCAUGGGUAGCGAAGAGGAUUAGAUACCCUCGUAGUCCAUGCCGUAAACGAUGUGUGUUAGACGUUGGAAAUUUAUUUUCAGUGUCGCAGCGAAAGCGAUAAACACACCGCCUGGGGAGUACGACCGCAAGGUUAAAACUCAAAUGAAUUGACGGGGACCCGCACAAGUAGUGGAGCAUGUGGUUUAAUUCGAAGAUACGCGCAGAACCUUACCAACACUUGACAUGUUCGUCGCGACUCUAAGAGAUUAGAGUUUUCGGUUCGGCCGGACGAAACACAGGUGCUGCAUGGCUGUCGUCAGCUCGUGUCGUGAGAUGUUGGGUUAAGUCCCGCAACGAGCGCAACCCUCACUUUUAGUUGCCAUCAUUAAGUUGGGCACUCUGAAAGAACUGCCAGUGAUAAGCUGGAGGAAGGUGGGGAUGACGUCAAGUCCUCAUGGCCCUUACGUGUUGGGCUACACACGUGCUACAAUGGUAUCUACAACAGGAAGCAAGACUGCGAGGUCAAGCAAAUCCUUAAAAGAUACCUCAGUUCGGAUUGCACUCUGCAACUCGAGUGCAUGAAGCUGGAAUUACUAGUAAUCGUGGAUCAGCGUGCCACGGUGAAUGCGUUCCCGGGUCUUGUACACACCGCCCGUCACACCAUGGGAGUUGGUUCUACCUUAAGGCAAGGUUUAAAACCCUUGACCACGGUAUAGUCAGCGACUGGGGUGAAGUCGUAACAAGGUAGCCG
RNAcentral lists this ribosomal RNA (970 nucleotides) under uncultured bacterium. RNAcentral describes it as "bacterial SSU rRNA". It matches the Rfam family "Bacterial small subunit ribosomal RNA", at positions 521 to 1502 of the family's 1533-position model. The record is from RNAcentral.